AGAGUUUGAUCAUGGCUCAGAACGAACGCUGGCGGCGCGCUUAACACAUGCAAGUCGAACGAGAAGGCGUAGCAAUACGCUUGUACAGUGGCGAACGGGUGAGGAAUACAUGGGUAACCUACCCUCGAGUGGGGGAUAACCCGCCGAAAGGCGGGCUAAUACCGCGUAAGCUUCCGAUCUUGCGGGAUUGGAAGGAAAGCUGUCCCUUGGGGAUGGCGCUCAAGGAUGGGCUCAUGUCCUAUCAGCUUGUUGGUAGGGUAACGGCCUACCAAGGCAUCGACGGGUAGCUGGUCUGAGAGGACGAUCAGCCACACUGGCACUGCGACACGGGCCAGACUCCUACGGGAGGCAGCAGUGAGGAAUAUUGCGCAAUGGGCGAAAGCCUGACGCAGCGACGCCGCGUGGGGGAUGAAGGUCUUCGGAUUGUAAACCCCUUUCGGGAGGGAAGACGGCCUUAGACAACUAAGGCGGACGGUACCUCCAGAAGCAGCCACGGCUAACUUCGUGCCAGCAGCCGCGGUA
RNAcentral lists this ribosomal RNA (522 nucleotides) under uncultured Nitrospira sp. RNAcentral describes it as "bacterial SSU rRNA". It matches the Rfam family "Bacterial small subunit ribosomal RNA", at positions 8 to 522 of the family's 1533-position model. The record is from RNAcentral. Lineage: Bacteria; Pseudomonadati; Nitrospirota; Nitrospiria; Nitrospirales; Nitrospiraceae.